UCUGACUUGGCACCAGUACCUCCUGAUCCCCAGCGCCACACUUGAGCAGUCCCACGUAUACACCUCCGACCGCUGCCUGCACCCUCCUACGAGGCUCAAAAUGUUAUUUUAUACUCACUAAAGAGGGCCACAUUUUUCAUUUUCUAAAAUUAAGAAUUUAACACAUGUGCAUGCUAAACACACGCUGAAUGCAUGUCUAAUAUAGACAUUGAAUCACUUAAGUAUAAUUUAAUGGAUGAAAAUUUACCUCAAGGGCACCCAUGGUCAAGAGCAGGAUCAUGAUGAGAUGGUGAAGGCAACAGAGCACCUGGGAUUGAUGGGGAAGGUGUGCCUUGUAUGAACCUUGCUCUUAGAAAGCAAUGUUCGACAUUUUGACCAUAAGUAAUAGCGCAACACAUUUUAUUUCUAUCCUAAGCUAUACAUUGCUAUAAGGAGCAUUUGUAGUGUGGUGAUCUAAAGCAACAUGCUUACUGUAAUGCAAGCAAAAAAAAAACAAGUUGCCUGCUGCUUGCUACCAUCUAACAAGAGCCAGAGAUAAACUCGUACAUCUCAUAUGAGCAAGAUCCACAAGCAACUGGAGAAGUAAAUUUAGACAUCUCAAUGCGAUUUUCAAAUCAGAACAUCUAACAACACAUAAAAGUAUAAGAUGCUACUCUCGCCUAUAUGCUUUAUCAGAAUAUCUGAGGUUAAAAUCUGAUAGAGCAUCGAAGUCAU
Molecule: long non-coding RNA, 714 nt
Filed under: Sorghum bicolor (sorghum)
Lineage: Eukaryota; Viridiplantae; Streptophyta; Magnoliopsida; Poales; Poaceae
Description: long non-coding RNA (SBIC_LNC013596)
Source: RNAcentral